UAGGGAAUCUUCCACAAUGGACGCAAGUCUGAUGGAGCAACGCCGCGUGAGUGAAGAAGGGUUUCGGCUCGUAAAGCUCUGUUGGUAGUGAAGAAAGAUAGAGGUAGUAACUGGCCUUUAUUUGACGGUAAUUACUUANAAAGUCACGGCUAACUACGUGCCAGCAGCCGCGGUAAUACGUAGGUGGCAAGCGUUGUCCGGAUUUAUUGGGCGUAAAGCGAGUGCAGGCGGUUCAAUAAGUCUGAUGUGAAAGCCUUCGGCUCAACCGGAGAAUUGCAUCAGAAACUGUUGAACUUGAGUGCAGAAGAGGAGAGUGGAACUCCAUGUGUAGCGGUGGAAUGCGUAGAUAUAUGGAAGAACACCAGUGGCGAAGGCGGCUCUCUGGUCUGCAACUGACGCUGAGGCUCGAAAGCAUGGGUAGCGAACAGGAUUAGAUACCCUGGUAGUCCAUGCCGUAAACGAUGAGUGCUAAGUGUUGGGAGGUUUCCGCCUCUCAGUGCUGCAGCUAACGCAUUAAGCACUCCGCCUGGGGAGUACGACCGCAAGGUUG
RNAcentral lists this ribosomal RNA (550 nucleotides) under uncultured bacterium. RNAcentral describes it as "bacterial SSU rRNA". It matches the Rfam family "Bacterial small subunit ribosomal RNA", at positions 355 to 896 of the family's 1533-position model. The record is from RNAcentral.